UACGUAGGCAGCGAGCGUUGUUCGGAGUUACUGGGCGUAAAGGGUGUGUAGGCGGUUCUUUAAGUUUGGUGGGAAAUCUCCCGGCUCAACCGGGAGGGUGCGCCGAAUACUGAGGGACUAGAGUGCGGGAGAGGAAAGUGGAAUUCCUGGUGUAGCGGUGAAAUGCGUAGAUAUCAGGAGGAACACCGGUGGUGUAGACGGCUUUCUGGACCGUAACUGACGCUGAGACACGAAAGCGUGGGUAGCAAACAGG
Molecule: ribosomal RNA, 253 nt
Filed under: uncultured bacterium
Lineage: Bacteria
Description: partial 16S ribosomal RNA
Rfam family: Bacterial small subunit ribosomal RNA
Source: RNAcentral